Molecule: ribosomal RNA, 400 nt
Filed under: uncultured bacterium
Lineage: Bacteria
Description: bacterial SSU rRNA
Rfam family: Bacterial small subunit ribosomal RNA
Source: RNAcentral
GAUGAACGCUAGCUACAGGCUUAACACAUGCAAGUCGCGGGGCAGCAUGAAUUUAGCUUGCUAAAUUUGAUGGCGACCGGCGCACGGGUGAGUAACGCGUAUCCAACCUGCCCACCACUUGGGAAUAACCUUGCGAAAGUAAGACUAAUGCCCAAUGAUAUUGAGUGCAGACAUCUAAUCUCAAUUAAAGAUUUAUCGGUGAUGGAUGGGGAUGCGUCCGAUUAGCUUGUUGGCGGGGUAACGGCCCACCAAGGCAACGAUCGGUAGGGGUUCUGAGAGGAAGGUCCCCCACAUUGGAACUGAGACACGGUCCAGACUCCUACGGGAGGCAGCAGUGGGGAAUCUUCCGCAAUGGGCGAAAGCCUGACGGAGCAACGCCGCGUGAGUGAAGAAGGCCUUC